Molecule: ribosomal RNA, 1086 nt
Filed under: Gradsteinia andicola
Lineage: Eukaryota; Viridiplantae; Streptophyta; Bryopsida; Hypnales; Amblystegiaceae
Description: eukaryotic LSU rRNA
Rfam family: Eukaryotic large subunit ribosomal RNA
Source: RNAcentral
GGAGGAGAAGAAACUAACCAGGAUUUCCCUAGUAACGGCGAGCGAACCGGAAAGAGCCCAGCUUGAAAAUCGUGGUGCCUCGCAUCUCGAAUUGUAGUCUGGAGAAGGUCCCUCUGCGACGCGCCGGACCCAAGUUCCCUGGAAAGGGACGUCAUCGAGGGUGACAACCCCGUCCGCGCCCGGAACGCGUCGCUCCACGAGGACCUGUCUGCGAGUCGGGCUGUUUGGGAAUGCAGCCCUAAGCGGGAGGUAAAUUCCUUCCAAGGCUAAAUAUGGGCAAGAGACCGAUAGCGAACAAGUACCGCGAGGGAAAGAUGAAAAGGACUUUGAAAAGAGAGUUAAAAAGUGCUUGAAAUUGCUGGGAGGGAAGCGAAUGGAAGCUGCGGGUGCGCCCCGGUUGGAUGUGGAACGGCUUCGGCUGGUCCGCCGCUCAACGCGGGGCGCUGGUCAGCGUGGGCCACGGCGCCGGGACAAGAGCGGGGAUUCGCUUCCCGCCUAUGCCGGUGCGGUGGCCGAGGCACGAAGCGCGCGCCGCAAGGCGUGGGUUCGCCCAACUGCGCGCUCGGGACGCUGGCGUAUUGAGCUCUUCAUCCGACCCGUCUUGAAACACGGACCAAGGAGUCUAACAUGUAUGCGAGCCGGUGGGCGGCAAACCCAUUGAGGCGCAAGUAAACUGACAGGUGGGACCCCGACCGUGAGGGAGGGAGCACCAUCGACCGACCGUGAUCUUCUGUGAAAGGUUUGAGUGUGAGCAUACCUGUUGGGACCCGAAAGAUGGUGAACUAUGCCUGAGCAGGGCGAAGCCAGAGGAAACUCUGGUGGAGGCUCGUAGCGAUACUGACGUGCAAAUCGUUCGUCAGACUUGGGUAUAGGGGCGAAAGACUAAUCGAACCAUCUAGUAGCUGGUUCCCUCCGAAGUUUCCCUCAGGAUAGCUGGAGCUCGUGUACAAGUUUUAUCAGGUAAAGCGAAUGAUUAGAGGCAUCGGGGGUGUAACACCCUCGACCUAUUCUCAAACUUUAAAUAGGUAAGCCGCCGGGGUUGCUUGGUUGAACCCCGGCACAGAAUGAGAGCUCCAAGUGGGCCAU